RNAcentral lists this ribosomal RNA (303 nucleotides) under uncultured bacterium. RNAcentral describes it as "partial 16S ribosomal RNA". It matches the Rfam family "Bacterial small subunit ribosomal RNA", at positions 507 to 807 of the family's 1533-position model. The record is from RNAcentral.
AGCAGCCGCCGCGGGAAUACAGAGGGUGCGAGCGUUAAUCGGAUUUACUGGGCGUAAAGCGUGCGUAGGCGGCUUCUUAAGUCGGAUGUGAAAUCCCUAAGCUUAACUUAGGAAUUGCAUUCGAUACUGGGAAGCUAGAGUAUGGGAGAGGAUGGUAGAAUUCCAGGUGUAGCGGUGAAAUGCGUAGAGAUCUGGAGGAAUACCGAUGGCGAAGGCAGCCAUCUGGCCUAAUACUGACGCUGAGGUACGAAAGCAUGGGGAGCAAACAGGAUUAGAUACCCGCGUAGUCCCUGUCUCUUAUAC